UGGGGUGUGGCCAAGCGGUAAGGCACCGGUUUUUGGUAUCGGCAUUCGCAGGUUCGAAUCCUGCCACCCCAGCCA
Molecule: transfer RNA, 75 nt
Filed under: Alphaproteobacteria bacterium
Lineage: Bacteria; Pseudomonadati; Pseudomonadota; Alphaproteobacteria
Also listed under: 3 other names
Description: tRNA-Gln
Rfam family: tRNA
About the family: Transfer RNA (tRNA) molecules are approximately 80 nucleotides in length. Their secondary structure includes four short double-helical elements and three loops (D, anti-codon, and T loops). Further hydrogen bonds mediate the characteristic L-shaped molecular structure. tRNAs have two regions of fundamental functional importance: the anti-codon, which is responsible for specific mRNA codon recognition, and the 3' end, to which the tRNAs corresponding amino acid is attached (by aminoacyl-tRNA synthetases). tRNAs cope with the degeneracy of the genetic code in two manners: having more than one tRNA (with a specific anti-codon) for a particular amino acid; and 'wobble' base-pairing, i.e. permitting non-standard base-pairing at the 3rd anti-codon position.
Source: RNAcentral